This 654-nucleotide unclassified non-coding RNA is filed under the name Hevea brasiliensis (rubber tree). Lineage: Eukaryota; Viridiplantae; Streptophyta; Magnoliopsida; Malpighiales; Euphorbiaceae. The record is from RNAcentral.
AAAGCUUAUUGAUUCAUGAAUUUAUAAGGAAGAACAAUGAUAAAUGAAAAGACACCUUAGAUUAUAUAAGCCCUUUUUUGUAAAUUUUAUUAUCUAGAAGUUAUAUUUGGAGUUUUUAUAUAAAUGAAAUUUAAAUGGUCUUAUUAUAUCAUGAUUAUUAUUAUUGUGUUUGUUCUCUUUUUUCUAUUAGGUUUUGUUUCUAAUUCCAUAAAUGAUUUAGGCUUCAGAGAUUUGUUCUUUUGUUUUUAUUUUCUCUUUACAUGGUUCCACAUUAGAGAGGAAAUGAAAGAAAGAGAGAGGAUUGGAGAUUUUUAGGUUGUCUAUGAAGAGUUUGGUGGCUAAUUAUUAGCAUUCCUGUUGCCCUACUUAUAGAUUUGCAUUUGAUGUGUUAUAUGGAACAUGAAAGGUUUUCUUGAGUGGACAUAAUGAUUUGUUAUCGCCUUUUUUCUUUUAUGCUUAAAUGCCACUCUUCUGGCAUAUUUCUGUGAAAAUAUGUAUCAAAAUUCUUCAAGACUUUUUUCGAGACUAGCAACUUGUUUUGUUUUCAGAAUAUAGGUGUUUUCCUGUAUGAAUUCAUAUCUCUUGGACUGAUGUAGGACAUUUCUUGUCCGCUUUCAUUAAUUGUUUCAGGGUCCACCACUUGCUGGAAGGUAU